CCUACGGGUGGCAGCAGUGGGGGAUAUUGCACAAUGGGGGAAACCCUGAUGCAGCGACGCCGCGUGUGGGAAGACGGUCCUCUGGAUUGUAAACUACUGUCCCCAGGGACGAAGAUGACGUUACCUGGGGAGGAAGCUCCGGCUAACUACGUGCGAGCAGCCGCGGUAAUACGUAGGGAGCGAGCGUUGUCCGGAAUUACUGGGUGUAAGGGGAGCGUAGGCGGGACUGCAAGUUGGGUGUAAAAUCUACCGGCUCAACCGGUAGCCGCACUCAAAACUGCAGUUCUUGAGUGAAGUAGCGGCAGGCGGAAGUCCUAGUGUAGCGGUGAAAUGCGUAGAUAUUAGGCGGAACACCAGUGGCGAAGGCGGCCUGCUAGGCUUUUACUGACGCUGAGGCUCGAAAGUGUGGGGAGCAAACAGGAUUAGAUACCCCGGUAGUC
This 440-nucleotide ribosomal RNA is filed under the name uncultured bacterium. RNAcentral describes it as "partial 16S ribosomal RNA". It matches the Rfam family "Bacterial small subunit ribosomal RNA", at positions 338 to 795 of the family's 1533-position model. The record is from RNAcentral.